UGGAAGAACACCAGUGGCGAAGGCGGCUGUCUGGUCUGUAACUGACGCUGAGGCUCGAAAGUAUGGGUAGCAAACAGGAUUAGAUACCCUGGUAGUCCAUACCGUAAACGAUGAAUGCUAAGUGUUGGAGGGUUUCCCCCUUCAGUGCUGCAGCUAACGCAUUAAGCAUUCCGCCUGGGGAGUACGGCCGCAAGGCUGAAACUCAAAGGAAUUGACGGGGGCCCGCACAAGCGGUGGAGCAUGUGGUUUAAUUCGAAGCUACGCGAAGAACCUUACCAGGUCUUGACAUACUAUGCAAAUCUAAGAGAUUAGACGUUCCCUUCGGGGACAUGGAUACAGGUGGUGCAUGGUUGUCGUCAGCUCGUGUCGUGAGAUGUUGGGUUAAGUCCCGCAACGAGCGCAACCCUUAUUAUCAGUUGCCAGCAUUAAGUUGGGCACUCUGGUGAGACUGCCGGUGACAAACCGGAGGAAGGUGGGGAUGACGUCAAAUCAUCAUGCCCCUUAUGACCUGGGCUACACACGUGCUACAAUGGAUGGUACAACGAGUUGCGAACUCGCGAGAGUAAGCUAAUCUCUUAAAGCCAUUCUCAGUUCGGAUUGUAGGCUGCAACUCGCCUACAUGAAGUCGGAAUCGCUAGUAAUCGCGGAUCAGCAUGCCGCGGUGAAUACGUUCCCGGGCCUUGUACACACCGCCCGUCACACCAUGAGAGUUUGUAACACCCAAAGUCGGUGGGGUAACCUUUAGGAACCAGCCGCCUAAGGUGGGACAGAUGAUUAGGGUGAAGUCGUAACAAGGUAACCAAGGGCGAAUCG
This 813-nucleotide ribosomal RNA is filed under the name uncultured Lactobacillus sp. RNAcentral describes it as "bacterial SSU rRNA". It matches the Rfam family "Bacterial small subunit ribosomal RNA", at positions 699 to 1513 of the family's 1533-position model. Lineage: Bacteria; Bacillati; Bacillota; Bacilli; Lactobacillales; Lactobacillaceae. The record is from RNAcentral.